RNAcentral lists this ribosomal RNA (494 nucleotides) under uncultured bacterium. RNAcentral's name for it is "partial 16S ribosomal RNA". It matches the Rfam family "Bacterial small subunit ribosomal RNA", at positions 28 to 507 of the family's 1533-position model. The record is from RNAcentral.
GACGAACGCUGGCGGCGUGCUUAACACAUGCAAGUCGAACGGAAAGGCCUGCUUUCCCUUGUGGAUUGCGGGUACUCGAGUGGCGAACGGGUGAGUAACACGUGAGUGAUCUGCCCCCAACUUGGGUAUAAGCCUGGGAAACUGGGUCUAAUUCCCGAUAGGACUGCAGGGUGGUGCCUGUGGUGGAAAACGAUUUUCUAGUGGUUGGGGAUGAGCUCGCGGCCUAUCAGCUUGUUGGUGGGGUAAUGGCCUACCAAGGCGGCGACGGGUAGCCGGCCUGAGAGGGGGGACGGGCACAUUGGGACUGAGAUACGGCCCAGACUCCUACGGGAGGCAGCAGUGGGGAAUAUUGCACAAUGGGCGGAAGCCUGAUGCAGCGACGCCGCGUGGGGGAUGACGGCCUUCGGGUUGUAAACUCCUUUCGACCGCGAGGAAGCCACCUGGUUGGAAGGGUGGUGACGGUAGUGGUAGAAGAAGCACCGGCUAACUACGUG